RNAcentral lists this ribosomal RNA (231 nucleotides) under uncultured bacterium. RNAcentral describes it as "partial 16S ribosomal RNA". It matches the Rfam family "Bacterial small subunit ribosomal RNA", at positions 1066 to 1320 of the family's 1533-position model. The record is from RNAcentral.
CGUGAGAUGUUCGGUUAAGUCCGGCAACGAGCGCAACCCACACCCCUGGUUGCCAUCAUUUGGUUGGGCACUCUAGGGGAACUGCCCGUGAUAAGCGGGAGGAAGGUGUGGAUGACGUCAAGUCCUCAUGGCCCUUACGGGUUGGGCUACACACGUGCUACAAUGGUGGUGACAAUGGGUUAAUCCCUAAAAGCCAUCUCAGUUCGGAUUGGGGUCUGCAACUCGACCCCA